AAUCUGUUGUGCGAGCAUUUUUGAAUCAACAUUUUGAAGUGUUCCCAUGCCUCAUAGAAGCUUUCUCCUUCCAUCUGUCUAAAGACAACAAUCUCUCUUCUUAAUU
Gossypium hirsutum (cotton) is the source of this 106-nucleotide non-coding RNA. Lineage: Eukaryota; Viridiplantae; Streptophyta; Magnoliopsida; Malvales; Malvaceae. The record is from Rfam.